AUUGAACGCUGGCGGCAGGCCUAACACAUGCAAGUCGAAUGGUAACAGGAAACAGCUUGCUGUUUCGCUGACGAGUGGCGGACGGGUGAGUAAUGUCUGGGAAACUGCCUGAUGGAGGGGGAUAACUACUGGAAACGGUAGCUAAUACCGCAUAACGUCGCAAGACCAAAGAGGGGGACCUUCGGGCCUCUUGCCAUCAGAUGUGCCCAGAUGGGAUUAGCUAGUAGGUGGGGUAACGGCUCACCUAGGCGACGAUCCCUAGCUGGUCUGAGAGGAUGACCAGCCACACUGGAACUGAGACACGGUCCAGACUCCUACGGGAGGCAGCAGUGGGGAAUAUUGCACAAUGGGCGCAAGCCUGAUGCAGCCAUGCCGCGUGUAUGAAGAAGGUCUUCGGGUUGUAAAGUACUUUCAGCGGGGAGGAAGGGAGUAAAGUUAAUACCUUUGCUCAUUGACGUUACCCGCAGAAGAAGCACCGGCUAACUCCGUG
This 490-nucleotide ribosomal RNA is filed under the name uncultured bacterium. Its description in RNAcentral is "partial 16S ribosomal RNA". It matches the Rfam family "Bacterial small subunit ribosomal RNA", at positions 30 to 507 of the family's 1533-position model. The record is from RNAcentral.